AUACGGACUUGGGGCCUGUUGCACAAAAGUAGAAUUAAGACAUCCGGGAUAAAUGACUCAGCUGAGCUCAAUGAAGCCAAAACAUGUGCGUCCAGGCUUAAUUGGUUGCACAAAGACCAAGCCAGGAUGAGCAGACACGGAUUCAUUAAGCCAGGUGAAACCAAUCCAGGAUAGGUGCGCGCUCACGGCUCACUCAAAUAGACCCCGCCACAGAUCACAGAUUAACUGAUUUACCAUGGCAACUAGAGCCGCGUACUUUUCCCCGUCGGAAGCACAAAUCCUCAUGGAGGCAUACGAGGAGGUAAAAGAUAUAAUUAAGAAGAAAGGCAACACCGCCACAGUGAUAAAGCAAAGAGAAAAAGCGUGGCAAAGUAUUGCAGACCGCCUGAAUGCAUUAAACAUGAACGGGCCAAAACGGACAUGGCAGCAGGUCAAAAUCAAAUACAAGAACAUUCUGCAGAAUGCAGUGAAAAAGAAUACCCACAGACAAGGCACGGGUGGUGGGUCACCAAAGGCUGACCUUACCCCAGCAGAGGACAUGGCCUUGGAGCUAAAUAAAGGCAGGCCCGUCUUAGAGGGGAUCCCUGGGGGGAAAGAGACGAGCAUAGGUUCCUCCCAAGAUGCCACCCGCUUCAUUCAAGUGUCUGGCAGCACUGUGUUCCUGUUAGAGCCACCAGCACAAGCACCAGACGAUGCUGAUCCAGGUGAAGGCCCCAGUGCAGCAGCAACAGCACAUGAUGGAGACGAUGAUGAUGACGAGGAGACCAUCUCUCUGGAUUCCAGAAGGCAUGAGGUAUCAUGGACCCAGAUGCUAUACAGUGGGAAAACCAGCCUGGCAACAUAGUGCGUAUUAAUAAAAGGACACCACAUCCUGCCAAAUUCCAGCUGCGCUAAUUGUAUUGUGUUCACAGAGCUCACAAGCUAUCAGAAAGUUGUAUGGCAACCACCUCCGGCGCCAAAUAGAACUGGCAGACAUAGACAUUCAGUACAAGAAGAAAAAGAUGGAAAAUCUUGCACUGGAGUCCGAAAUAAAAAAGAGGACAAUUAGGAAACUGGACCUUGAAAUAAAAAAAACUUGAGAGGGAGCUCCAAGAAGAUGACACAGCUCAAAAUAAAAAUGAGCAAUCAGUACAACCAAGUCAUCGUUAUAAGGCAUCGCCCUCUUUUGCCCACCCCCCCAGCACCAGGUGUGGCCACUAGCCUAUAUGAAGGCCCAAAAUUGUGUGUUCCUUUCUGCUCUGACAAUGGCAUGCCCAUUCGUGCGAGAUGUGGUGGAUGAAGAAGCACUUGUGCUGAGGAGAGCCUUCAGGCGAGAAAGGGUCUUCAGGGACCGGUUGGACCCACUGGCCUUCCCUGACGACCAUCUAUAUGAAAGAUACAGGUUUUCUGCAGAUGGCAUCAGGUAUCUAUGCAGACUACUGGGUCCCAGGAUUAAGCACCGCACUGCACGGAGCCAUGCACUGAGUGUGGAGCAAAUGGUUUGUGUGGCCUUGCGCUUUUUUGCUAGUGGAGCCUUCCUGUACUCAGUGGGGGAUGCAGAACAGCUGAACAAGGCCACAAUUUGCCGCACAAUAAGAAGUGUGUGUCUGGCUAUCAAAGCAUUAGCAGAUGUCUUCAUCUCCUUCCCUGGCCACAGAAGACUCUGUGACAUCAAAGAGGAGUUCUAUAGGAUUGCAGAUGGUCUGCAAUGCUGACUGUGUGAUCAGCAAUGUUGUGGCAAAAUGGCCUGGCUCAGUCCAUGACUCCAGAAUCUUUCGGGCCUCUGAAAUCUAUCAGUGCCUAUCACAAGGUGAAUUCUCUGGUGUGUUGCUGGGAGACAGGGG
Oncorhynchus gorbuscha (pink salmon) is the source of this 1823-nucleotide RNA transcript. RefSeq lists it as uncharacterized. The record is from RefSeq and is a predicted model, not a curated record. The transcript is spliced from 10 exons. Lineage: Eukaryota; Metazoa; Chordata; Actinopteri; Salmoniformes; Salmonidae.